UCGAGCGGACGAGUGGAGCUUGCUCCAUGAUUCAGCGGCGGAGGGGUGAGUAAUGCCUAGGAAUCUGCCUGAUAGUGGGGGACAAGGCUUUCGAAAGAGAACGCUAAUACCGCAUACGUCCUACGGGAGAAAGUGGGGGAUCUUCGGACCUCACGCUAUCAGAUGAGCCUAGGUCGGAUAAGCUAUUUGGUGAGGUAAAGGCUCACCAAGGCGACGAUCCGUAACUGGUCUGAGAGGAUGAUCAGUCACACUGGAACUGAGACCCGGUCCAGACUCCUACGGGAGGCAGCAGUGGGGAAUAUUGGACAAUGGGCGAAAGCCUGAUCCAGCCAUGCCGCGUGUGUGAAGAAGGUCUUCGGAUUGUAAAGCACUUUAAGUUGGGAGGAAGGGCAUUAAGUUAAUACCUUGCUGUUUUGACGUUACCGAUAGAAUAAGCA
RNAcentral lists this ribosomal RNA (437 nucleotides) under Pseudomonas sp. RNAcentral's name for it is "bacterial SSU rRNA". It matches the Rfam family "Bacterial small subunit ribosomal RNA", at positions 62 to 492 of the family's 1533-position model. The record is from RNAcentral. Lineage: Bacteria; Pseudomonadati; Pseudomonadota; Gammaproteobacteria; Pseudomonadales; Pseudomonadaceae.